Cricetulus griseus (Chinese hamster) is the source of this 110-nucleotide ribosomal RNA. The record is from Ensembl. NCBI's taxonomy places the organism in Eukaryota, Metazoa, Chordata, Mammalia, Rodentia, Cricetidae.
GUCUACGGCCAUACCACCCUGAAUGCGCCCGAUUUUGUCUGAUCUCGGAAGCUAAGCAAGGUUGGGCCUGGUUAGUACUUGGAUGGGAGACAGAUGUUAUUCUGUUGUCU